CACUCCUGCGGGAGGCAGCAGUGGGGAAUAUUGCACAAUGGGCGCAAGCCUGAUGCAGCCAUGCCGCGUGUAUGAAGAAGGCCUUCGGGUUGUAAAGUACUUUCAGCGGGGAGGAAGGCGAUAAGGUUAAUAACCUUGUUGAUUGACGUUACCCGCAGAAGAAGCACCGGCUAACUCCGUGCCAGCAGCCGCGGUAAUACGGAGGGUGCAAGCGUUAAUCGGAAUUACUGGGCGUAAAGCGCACGCAGGCGGUCUGUCAAGUCGGAUGUGAAAUCCCCGGGCUCAACCUGGGAACUGCAUUGGGAACUGGCAGGCUAGAGUCUUGUAGAGGGGGGUAGAAUUCCAGGUGUAGCGGUGAAAUGCGUAGAGAUCUGGAGGAAUACCGGUGGCGAAGGCGGCCCCCUGGACAAAGACUGACGCUCAGGUGCGAAAGCGUGGGGAGCAAACAGGAUUAGAAACCCUUGUAGUCCC
RNAcentral lists this ribosomal RNA (471 nucleotides) under uncultured organism. Its description in RNAcentral is "partial 16S ribosomal RNA". It matches the Rfam family "Bacterial small subunit ribosomal RNA", at positions 334 to 797 of the family's 1533-position model. The record is from RNAcentral.